UACGUAGGCAGCAAGCGUUGUUCGGAGUUACUGGGCGUAAAGGGUGUGUAGGCGGUUGUUUAAGUUUGGUGUGAAAUCUCCCGGCUCAACUGGGAGGGUGCGCCGAAUACUGAAUGACUAGAGUGCGGGAGAGGAAAGUGGAAUUCCUGGUGUAGCGGUGAAAUGCGUAGAUAUCAGGAGGAACACCGGUGGUGUAAACGGCUUUCUGGACCAUAACUGACGCUGAGGCACGAAAGCGUGGGUAGCAAACAGG
This 253-nucleotide ribosomal RNA is filed under the name uncultured bacterium. Its description in RNAcentral is "partial 16S ribosomal RNA". It matches the Rfam family "Bacterial small subunit ribosomal RNA", at positions 524 to 776 of the family's 1533-position model. The record is from RNAcentral.